AUCCGCUUUGAGAUGGCCUCGCGUCCGAUUAGCUGGUUGGUGAGGUAACGGCCCACCAAGGCAACGAUCGGUAGCCGGACUGAGAGGUUGAACGGCCACAUUGGGACUGAGACACGGCCCAGACUCCUACGGGAGGCAGCAGUGGGGAAUAUUGCACAAUGGGGGAAACCCUGAUGCAGCGACGCCGCGUGGAGGAAGAAGGUCUUCGGAUUGUAAACUCCUGUUGUUGAGGAAGAUAAUGACGGUACUCAACAAGGAAGUGACGGCUAACUACGUGCCAGCAGCCGCGGUAAAACGUAGGUCACAAGCGUUGUCCGGAAUUACUGGGUGUAAAGGGAGCGCAGGCGGGAAGACAAGUUGGAAGUGAAAUCUAUGGGCUCAACCCAUAAACUGCUUUCAAAACUGUUUUUCUUGAGUAGUGCAGAGGUAGGCGGAAUUCCCGGUGUAGCGGUGGAAUGCGUAGAUAUCGGGAGGAACACCAGUGGCGAAGGCGGCCUACUGGGCACCAACUGACGCUGAGGCUCGAAAGUGUGGGUAGCAAACAGGAUUAGAUACCCUGGUAGUCCACACCGUAAACGAUGAUUACUAGGUGUUGGAGGAUUGACCCCUUCAGUGCCGCAGUUAACACAAUAAGUAAUCCACCUGGGGAGUACGACCGCAAGGUUGAAACUCAAAGGAAUUGACGGGGGCCCGCACAAGCAGUGGA
This 706-nucleotide ribosomal RNA is filed under the name Faecalibacterium prausnitzii. RNAcentral's name for it is "bacterial SSU rRNA". It matches the Rfam family "Bacterial small subunit ribosomal RNA", at positions 213 to 936 of the family's 1533-position model. The record is from RNAcentral. Lineage: Bacteria; Bacillati; Bacillota; Clostridia; Eubacteriales; Oscillospiraceae.